Molecule: ribosomal RNA, 493 nt
Filed under: uncultured bacterium
Lineage: Bacteria
Description: partial 16S ribosomal RNA
Rfam family: Bacterial small subunit ribosomal RNA
Source: RNAcentral
GACGAACGCUGGCGGCGUGCUUAACACAUGCAAGUCGAACGCUGAAGCCCUUUCGGGGGUGGAUGAGUGGCGAACGGGUGAGUAACACGUGGGUAAUCUGCCCUGUACUUCGGGAUAAGCCUUGGAAACGGGGUCUAAUACCGGAUAGGACCUGUCCUCGCAUGGGGGUGGGUGGAAAGUUCCGGCGGUAUGGGAGGAGCCCGAGGCCUGUCAGCUUGUUGGGGGGGUAGUGGCCUACCAAGGCGACGGCGGGUGGCCGGCCUGAGAGGGGGGCCGGUCACACUGGGACUGAGACACGGCCAAGACUCCUAGGGGAGGCAGCAGUGGGGAAUCUGGCGCAAGGGGCGAAAGCCUGACGCAGCAACGCCGCGUGGGGGAUGACGGCCUUGGGGUUGUAAACCUCUUUCGACAUCGACGAAGGGGCCCUGUUGUGGGGUUUUGACGGUAGGUGUAGAAGAAGCACCGGCUAACUACGUGCCAGCCGCCGCGGUAA